Molecule: non-coding RNA, 143 nt
Organism: Arachis ipaensis
Lineage: Eukaryota; Viridiplantae; Streptophyta; Magnoliopsida; Fabales; Fabaceae
Source: RefSeq, a predicted model, not a curated record
AGAAUAAUACCUUCCAGCUUUCCAAUGAUUACCGCAAAAAAAUCUUCAAAUGUCAAGUCUGCAUAACCCAAGGACUGUAGUGCCUUCCUACUCUUUUCAAUAUUAGCUUGUAUACGUUCAACCUCUGCUUGAUCUUGACUUAG